UACGGAGGAUGCGAGCGUUAUCCGGAUUUAUUGGGCGUAAAGGGUGCGUAGGCGGGCUGUUAAGUCAGCGGUCAAAUGUCGGGGCUCAACUCCAUCCAGCCGUUGAAACUGAUGAUCUUGAGUGAGCGAGAAGUAUGCGGAAUGCGUGGUGUAGCGGUGAAAUGCAUAGAUAUCACGCAGAACUCCGAUUGCGAAGGCAGCUCACUAGACUGCAACUGACACUGAUGCUCGAAAGUGUGGGUAUCAAACAGG
RNAcentral lists this ribosomal RNA (252 nucleotides) under uncultured Bacteroidales bacterium. RNAcentral's name for it is "partial 16S ribosomal RNA". It matches the Rfam family "Bacterial small subunit ribosomal RNA", at positions 524 to 776 of the family's 1533-position model. Lineage: Bacteria; Pseudomonadati; Bacteroidota; Bacteroidia; Bacteroidales. The record is from RNAcentral.